Molecule: ribosomal RNA, 588 nt
Filed under: uncultured marine eukaryote
Lineage: Eukaryota
Description: SSU rRNA
Rfam family: Eukaryotic small subunit ribosomal RNA
Source: RNAcentral
UUGUGGUUAAAAAGCUCGUAGUUGGAUCUCAACAGCCUUGAAGCGGUUAACUUUGUAGUUUUACUGCUUUAUAGGCUGUGCUUUUGCUGGAGGUUUAGGGGUGCUCUUGAUCGAGUGUCUCUGGAUGCCAGCAGGUUUACUUUGAAAAAAUUAGAGUGCUCAAAGCAGGCUAAAAUGCCUGAAUAUUCGUGCAUGGAAUAAUAGAAUAGGAUGUCGAUCCUAUUUCGUUGGUUUUCGGGACUCGACAUAAUGAUAAAUAGGGACAGUCGGGGGCAUUUGUAUUCAAACGACAGAGGUGAAAUUCUUGGACCGUUUGAAGACAAACUACUGCGAAAGCAUUUGCCAAGAAUGUUUUCAUUAAUCAAGAACGAAAGUUAGAGGUUCGAAGGCGAUUAGAUACCGCCCUAGUUCUAACCAUAAACGAUGCCAGCUAGCGAUCUGCCUGCGUUUUUACUGUAGACUGGGCAGGAAGCUUCCGGGAAACCAAAGCAUUUGGGUUCCAGGGGAAGUAUGGUUGCAAAGCUGAAACUUAAAGGAAUUGACGGAAGGGCACCACCAGGAGUGGAGCCUGCGGCUUAAUUUGACUCA